This 260-nucleotide unclassified non-coding RNA is filed under the name Hevea brasiliensis (rubber tree). The record is from RNAcentral. Lineage: Eukaryota; Viridiplantae; Streptophyta; Magnoliopsida; Malpighiales; Euphorbiaceae.
AAUGAAAAACAUCUCCAAACAUAAACUGUUUGUUAAGCCAAGACCACAACAUCUAAUGAGCAUGGUCACUCUUCCUAUUGAGCUACCAAGAUGAUGGAGAAGCAGCCGCAGGGGCAACAAAUCUAGAGACAGAUCUGGAAAUGGGACUUGCACUUGGGCUCCUGCAGUAACUAUCUCGAGAAUAUUCACGUCUUGAUGAACCUCCAUAGGAUAGACUCCUUGUGUUCUUCUUUACCUUUGGAGAAAGGCUCCUAGAGUAA